AGUCAAUUCCGCCCGAUGAAAAGAUAGUUCUAGUUGGACAUAGUCUUGGUGGCAUGAACAUGGCAUUUGCAAUGGAGAAAUACCCUCAAAAGAUUUCUGUUGCUGUUUUUAUUGCGGCUAUGAUGCCUGAUACUGUACAUACGCCAAUCUAUUUUUUCGAACAGGUAAUUUGUGCUUGCACUUAGAAAUAACUUAUUAUCCUAGAAUUGAAAAUUACUAAAGAAGAAAAUGGUACCCCAUAUGUUUUAAUAUAAUUCAAAUAUUUACGAAAUUCAAAGAACAACCUUUAAAUAAAUAUACGACAAUCUUGGUUAGAAAUAAACUUUCUUACGAAUUUUAACUAAAAUAUUAACAGUUUUCUGGCUUUUAGCAUACCAAAAGAUUAACAAGUAAUUAGAGAUGACAUACAAAAAAAUAAUAAAAACAACGAUGACAUAAAUUAUUUUGAAGCAAAAUUUAUUUGAGGAAACAAAGUUAUUCUGUUUUUGUUGAUAUUUUUCACUUAAUUACUUGCAUUAACUUGCUUGGCAGGUGUUAGAAGGAAUUACGAACGAAGAUAUUUUGGACAAUCAAUUCAUACCUAUUGGUAGACCGGAAGAACAUGGCAUGUCAAUGCUCUUUGGUCCGCUGUUCACAUCAUCCAAACUAUAUCAACUCUGUCCUCCUGAGGUAAACAAAAGAACAUGUGACGAAACAAACUGCAAUAAAAAAGAUCAAAAAGAUCUUUUUUUAUUUUUAUUUUUAUCAAAAACUUGAUGAUAAAUACAGUGCACUACUAGGUAUUUCAAGUUAAAUUUCCAUUAACUCGGCAAAUUAAAUGCUUGAAAUAAAAGUAUAGAUAUUAAACUUUAAUUUCAAAUUUACAACAAAGGAGAAGUUGAGUAAUCGAAGUGAAAUACUUCUAUUCAUUGAGUGACCAACAAGUGAUUUCAAUCCAUUAUGGCAGGAUGUGGUGUUAGCAAAAGAUUUGAUGAGGCCAAUCUCUAAUUUUUGGGAUGAUUUGUCGAAUAAGGGCGCAUUUUCC
RNAcentral lists this long non-coding RNA (1024 nucleotides) under Olea europaea (common olive). RNAcentral describes it as "long non-coding RNA (OEUR_LNC009419)". The record is from RNAcentral. Lineage: Eukaryota; Viridiplantae; Streptophyta; Magnoliopsida; Lamiales; Oleaceae.